Molecule: non-coding RNA, 27 nt
Filed under: Rattus norvegicus (Norway rat)
Lineage: Eukaryota; Metazoa; Chordata; Mammalia; Rodentia; Muridae
Source: RNAcentral
UACUAUGGCCAGAGGAGCAGCCCUCCU